CUACGGGACGCAGCAGUGGGGAAUAUUGGACAAUGGACCAAAAGUCUGAUCCAGCAAUUCUGUGUGCACGAUGACGGUUUUCGGAUUGUAAAGUGCUUUCAACAGGGAAGAAGUUCUGACGGUACCUGUAGAAGAAGCGACGGCUAAAUACGUGCCAGCAGCCGCGGUAAUACGUAUGUCGCAAGCGUUAUCCGGAUUUAUUGGGCAUAAAGGUCAUCUAGGCGGCUUAGUAAGUCUGAUGUGAAAAUGCGGGGCUCAACUCCGUAUUGCGUUGGAAACUACUAAGCUAGAGUAUUGGAGAGGUAGGCGGAACUACAUGUGUAGAGGUGAAAUUCGUAGAUAUAUGUAGGAAUGCCGAUGACGAAGGUAGCUUACUGGACAAUUACUGACGCUGAAGUGCGAAAGCUAGGGGAGCAAACAGGAUUAGAUACCCGAGUAGUC
RNAcentral lists this ribosomal RNA (441 nucleotides) under uncultured bacterium. RNAcentral describes it as "partial 16S ribosomal RNA". It matches the Rfam family "Bacterial small subunit ribosomal RNA", at positions 339 to 795 of the family's 1533-position model. The record is from RNAcentral.